UGGUUGGUACAACGAGUUGCGAGUCGGUGACGGCGAGCUAAUCUCUUAAAGCCAAUCUCAGUUCGGAUUGUAGGCUGCAACUCGCCUACAUGAAGUCGGAAUCGCUAGUAAUCGCGGAUCAGCACGCCGCGGUGAAUACGUUCCCGGGCCUU
RNAcentral lists this ribosomal RNA (152 nucleotides) under uncultured Streptococcus sp. RNAcentral describes it as "partial 16S ribosomal RNA". It matches the Rfam family "Bacterial small subunit ribosomal RNA", at positions 1231 to 1382 of the family's 1533-position model. Lineage: Bacteria; Bacillati; Bacillota; Bacilli; Lactobacillales; Streptococcaceae. The record is from RNAcentral.